AUUUUGGGCCAUGGGUGCCAGCCUUAUUCCACCAUGCUCCCUGCAAGAAGAAAGCCCUCCGGGUGGAAAGCUCUUUCGGGACGAAAAGAAUCGCCUAGGCUUAAACCUCGCCCCGUUCUCCGGUCCGGCAAAAGUAGCACCCGCUAACUAUGUGACACGCGCCGCGGUAAUACGUAGGGUGCGAGCGUUAAUCGGAAUUACUGGGCGUAAAGCGUGCGCAGGCGGUUGAUUAAGACAGGCGUGAAAUCCCCGGGCUUAACCUGGGAACUGCGAUUGUGACUGGUCAGCUAGAGUACGGCAGAGGGGGGUGGAAUUCCACGUGUAGCAGUGAAAUGCGUAGAGAUGUGGAGGAACACCGAUGGCGAAGGCAGCCCCCUGGGCCGAUACUGACGCUCAUGCACGAAAGCGUGGGUAGCAAACAGG
Molecule: ribosomal RNA, 423 nt
Filed under: uncultured bacterium
Lineage: Bacteria
Description: partial 16S ribosomal RNA
Rfam family: Bacterial small subunit ribosomal RNA
Source: RNAcentral